This 73-nucleotide transfer RNA is filed under the name Telmatocola sphagniphila. It matches the Rfam family "tRNA". From Rfam's summary of the family: Transfer RNA (tRNA) molecules are approximately 80 nucleotides in length. Their secondary structure includes four short double-helical elements and three loops (D, anti-codon, and T loops). Further hydrogen bonds mediate the characteristic L-shaped molecular structure. tRNAs have two regions of fundamental functional importance: the anti-codon, which is responsible for specific mRNA codon recognition, and the 3' end, to which the tRNAs corresponding amino acid is attached (by aminoacyl-tRNA synthetases). tRNAs cope with the degeneracy of the genetic code in two manners: having more than one tRNA (with a specific anti-codon) for a particular amino acid; and 'wobble' base-pairing, i.e. permitting non-standard base-pairing at the 3rd anti-codon position. The record is from Rfam by way of RNAcentral. Lineage: Bacteria; Pseudomonadati; Planctomycetota; Planctomycetia; Gemmatales; Gemmataceae.
GGGGGUGUAGCUCAACUGGGAGAGCACUAGCUUUGCAAGCUAGGGGUUAGGGGUUCGACCCCCCUCACCUCCA